This 465-nucleotide ribosomal RNA is filed under the name Vreelandella stevensii. RNAcentral describes it as "partial 16S ribosomal RNA". It matches the Rfam family "Bacterial small subunit ribosomal RNA", at positions 338 to 795 of the family's 1533-position model. Lineage: Bacteria; Pseudomonadati; Pseudomonadota; Gammaproteobacteria; Oceanospirillales; Halomonadaceae. The record is from RNAcentral.
CCUACGGGAGGCUGCAGUGGGGAAUAUUGGACAAUGGGCGAAAGCCUGAUCCAGCCAUGCCGCGUGUGUGAAGAAGGCCUUCGGGUUGUAAAGCACUUUCAGUGGGGAAGAAAGCCUUGGGGCUAAUACCCUCGAGGAAGGACAUCACCCACAGAAGAAGCACCGGCUAACUCCGUGCCAGCAGCCGCGGUAAUACGGAGGGUGCGAGCGUUAAUCGGAAUUACUGGGCGUAAAGCGCGCGUAGGCGGUCUGAUAAGCCGGUUGUGAAAGCCCCGGGCUCAACCUGGGAACGGCAUCCGGAACUGUCAGGCUAGAGUACAGGAGAGGAAGGUAGAAUUCCCGGUGUAGCGGUGAAAUGCGUAGAGAUCGGGAGGAAUACCAGUGGCGAAGGCGGCCUUCUGGACUGACACUGACGCUGAGGUGCGAAAGCGUGGGUAGCAAACAGGAUUAGAUACCCCUGUAGUC